UCGACCUGAGCUCAGGCAAGAACACCCGCUGAACUUAA
This 38-nucleotide ribosomal RNA is filed under the name Chlorococcum sp. K2/5. RNAcentral describes it as "partial 26S ribosomal RNA". The record is from RNAcentral. Lineage: Eukaryota; Viridiplantae; Chlorophyta; Chlorophyceae; Chlamydomonadales; Chlorococcaceae. RNAcentral also lists the same sequence under 2 other names.